Molecule: ribosomal RNA, 2000 nt
Filed under: human gut metagenome
Description: bacterial LSU rRNA
Rfam family: Bacterial large subunit ribosomal RNA
Source: RNAcentral
CUAAAUACUACCCAGUGACCGAUAGCGUAUAGUACUGUGAAGGAAAGGUGAAAAGCACCCCGGGAGGGGAGUGAAAAAGAACCUGAAACCCUGUGCCUACAAGCACCUAGAGCACGUCAAUGUGUGAUAGGGUACUUUUUGUAGAACGGUCCGGCGAGCGAUUGUAUGCAGCAAGGUUAAGGACUUAAGGUCUGGAGCCGAAGCGAAAGCGAGUUUGAAAAGGGCGUUAAGUUGCAUACAAUGGGCCCGAAACCGGGUGACCUACCCAUGGUCAGGUUGAAGUGGAAGUAAAAUUCCAUGGAGGACCGAACCGACCUCCGUUGAAAAGGCGGCGGAUGAACUGUGGGUAGCGGAGAAAUUCCAAUCGAACCCGGAGAUAGCUGGUUCUCCCCGAAAUAGUUUUAGGACUAGCCUCAAGUUAGAUACCUGGAGGUAAAGCACUGAAUAGCCUAGCGGCCGAGAGGUUAGCGAAGCUUAUCAAACUCAGAAUGCCAGAGUAUUGAUGCUUGGGAGUCAGACAGUGUCAGAUAAAUGUCAUUGUCAAAAGGGAAACAGCCCAGAUCUACAGCUAAGGUCCCAAAGUCAGGUUAAGUGGAAAACGAUGUGAAGAUACGUAGACAACCAGGAUGUUGGCUCAGAAGCAGCCACACAUUCAAAGAGUGCGUAAUAGCUCACUGGUCGAGCGUCUUUGCGCGGAGAAUUUAACGGGGCUAAACCUGACACCGAAGCUUAGGCAAUGUAGUAAUACAUUGGGUAGGGGAGCGUUGUAUACGCGGUGAAACAGUAGCGCAAGCGGCUGUGGAGUGUAUAGAAGUGAGAAUGCCGGAAUGAGUAGCGCGAAUGCAGUGAGAAUCUGCAUGGCCGAAAGCCUCAGGUUUCUGGAGGAAGGUUCGUCCGCUCCAGGUUAGUCGGGAGCUAAGGUGAGGCCUAACGGCGUAGCCGAUGCACAGACGGUAGAGAUUCCGUCACCACCAAAAGAGUUAAACACAGGGACACAUUUGAAGUCUCGGAGCCGGGUGUUGGUUCCGGUAGCGAUCGAGGGAAAUUAGUACCGAAGUCCGGGAUGGAAGAUGGCGAGAAAAGCUGUGUGUAUUUCUGCGGUGCCCGUACCGCAAACCGACACAGGUAGGUAGGAAGAAGAUUCUAAGGCCAACGGGAGAAGGGUUGUUAAGGAACUCGGCAAAUUGACCCCGUAACUUCGGGAGAAGGGGUGCUCCAGAGAUGGAGCCGCAGAGAAUCGGCCCAAGCAACUGUUUACCAAAAACACAGGUUUGUGCUAAAUCGAAAGAUGACGUAUACGAGCUGACGCCUGCCCGGUGCUGGAAGGUUAAGAGGAGAUGUGCAAGCAUUGAAUCGAAGCCCCAGUGAACGGCGGCCGUAACUAUAACGGUCCUAAGGUAGCGAAAUUCCUUGUCAGGUAAGUUCUGACCCGCACGAAUGGCGUAACGAUCUGGGCACUGUCUCAACAGCCCGCCCGGCGAAAUUGUAGUACCGGUGAAGAUGCCGGUUACCCGCGACAAGACGGAAAGACCCCAUGGAGCUUUACUGUAGCCUAAUAUUGGGUUUCGAUGUUGCAUGCACAGGAUAGAUGGGACACUGGGAAGCAAGAGCUUUGGCUUUUGUGGAGUGGCCGUUGGGAUACCAUCCUUGCGAUAUUGGAAUUCUAACCUGCGCCUUUGAAUCAAGGCGGGGGACAUUGUUAGGUGGGCAGUUUGACUGGGGCGGUCGCCUCCUAAAGAGUAACGGAGGCGUUCAAAGGUUCGCUCAGCUUGAACGGAAAUCAAGCAAAAGAGUGCAAACGCAGAAGCGAGCCUAACUGCGAGACUGACGGGUCGAGCAGUAACGAAAGUUGGAGUUAGUGAUCCGGUGGUAUGUGAGUGGAAAUGCCAUCGCUCAACGGAUAAAAGCUACCCUGGGGAUAACAGGCUGAUCUCCCCCAAGAGUCCACAUCGACGGGGAGGUUUGGCACCUCGAUGUCGGCUCAUCGCAUCCUGGGGCUG